UACGUAGGUGACCAGCGUUGUCCGGAUUUACUGGGCGUAAAGCGCGUGUAGGCGGCUUUGCAAGUCGGGUGUGAAAUCCCUCAGCUCAACUGAGGAAGUGCGCCCGAAACUGCAGAGCUCGAGUGCCGGAGAGGGUGGCGGAAUUCCCCAAGUAGAGGUGAAAUUCGUAGAUAUGGGGAGGAACACCGGUGGCGAAGGCGGCCACCUGGCCGGUAACUGACGCUGAGACGCGAAAGCGUGGGUAGCAAACAGG
This 253-nucleotide ribosomal RNA is filed under the name uncultured bacterium. Its description in RNAcentral is "partial 16S ribosomal RNA". It matches the Rfam family "Bacterial small subunit ribosomal RNA", at positions 524 to 776 of the family's 1533-position model. The record is from RNAcentral.